Vanrija pseudolonga is the source of this 74-nucleotide non-coding RNA. NCBI's taxonomy places the organism in Eukaryota, Fungi, Basidiomycota, Tremellomycetes, Trichosporonales, Trichosporonaceae. The record is from the annotation of a RefSeq genome assembly.
GGCCGCUUAGCUCAGCUGGUUAGAGCAUUGUACUAAUAAUGCAAAGGUCGGCAGUUCGAUCCUGUCAGUGGUCA